RNAcentral lists this ribosomal RNA (2887 nucleotides) under Thiomicrorhabdus sediminis. Its description in RNAcentral is "Thiomicrorhabdus sp. G1 23S ribosomal RNA". It matches the Rfam family "Bacterial large subunit ribosomal RNA". Lineage: Bacteria; Pseudomonadati; Pseudomonadota; Gammaproteobacteria; Thiotrichales; Piscirickettsiaceae. The record is from RNAcentral.
GUUGUAUAGUUAAGUGACUAAGCGUACACGGUGGAUGCCUAGGCGGUAGAAGGCGAUGAAGGACGUGAUAGCCUGCGAUAAGCUCUGGUGAGGUGGCAAAUAACCUUUGACCCAGAGAUUUCCGAAUGGGAAAACCCAUCCUUUAUGGAUAACCUCUUAUGAGGUGGCUAACCCGGAGAACUGAAACAUCUAAGUACCCGGAGGAAAAGAAAUCAACCGAGAUUCCCUAAGUAGCGGCGAGCGAACGGGGACCAGCCCUUAAGCUGAUAUUGGAUUAGUAGAAUAGUCUGGAAAGUCUAACGAUACAGGGUGAUAGUCCCGUAUACGAAAAUCUUUUAUUGGUGAAAUCGAGUAGGACGGAACACGUGAAAUUCUGUCUGAACAUGGGGGGACCACCCUCCAAGGCUAAAUACUCUCUACCGACCGAUAGUGAACCAGUACCGUGAGGGAAAGGCGAAAAGAACCCCUGAAGGGGAGUGAAAUAGAACCUGAAACCGUGUACGUACAAGCAGUAGGAGCAUACUUGUUAUGUGACUGCGUACCUUUUGUAUAAUGGGUCAGCGACUUACAUUAUGUAGCGAGGUUAACCGAAUAGGGGAGCCGUAGGGAAACCGAGUCUUAAAUGGGCGUCUAGUUGCAUGGUGUAGACCCGAAACCGGGCGAUCUAUCCAUGGCCAGGUUGAAGGUGCCGUAACAGGUACUGGAGGACCGAACCCACGUAUGUUGAAAAAUGCGGGGAUGAGUUGUGGAUCGGAGUGAAAGGCUAAUCAAGCCCGGAGAUAGCUGGUUCUCCUCGAAAUCUAUUUAGGUAGAGCCUCAUGUCUCACUGCUGGGGGUAGAGCACUGUUAUGGUCUAGCGGCCCGUCAAGGGUUAGCAGCCCAUUGCAAACUCCGAAUACCAGCAAGUGCAAUCAUGGGAGACAGACUGCGGGUGCUAACGUCCGUAGUCAAGAGGGAAACAACCCAGACCGCCAUCUAAGGUCCCUAAAUAUUACUAAGUGGGAAAGGAUGUGGGAAGGCUUAGACAGUCAGGAGGUUGGCUUAGAAGCAGCCACCCUUUAAAGAAAGCGUAAUAGCUCACUGAUCGAGUCGGCCUGCGCCGAAGAUUUAACGGGGCUAAGUAAUAUACCGAAGAUGCGGAUGCGUGUUUACACGCAUGGUAGAGGAGCGUUCUGUAAGCCUGCGAAGGGGCAUUGUAAAGUGUCCUGGAGGUAUCAGAAGUGCGAAUGCUGACAUGAGUAGCGAUAAAGGGAGUGAAAAGCUCCCUCGCCGAAAGACCAAGGUUUCCUACGCAACGUUAAUCGACGUAGGGUUAGUCGACCCCUAAGGCGAGGCUGAGAAGCGUAGUCGAUGGGAAGCAGGUUAAUAUUCCUGCACUAUUUAUUACUGCGAUGGAGGGACGGAGUAGGCUAGAUCAGCUUGGCGAUGGUUGUCCAAGUUUAAGAUUGUAGGCAUGUAUCUUAGGCAAAUCCGGGAUACUUUAUGCUGAGAAUUGAUGACGAGUCCUCUUUUGGACGAAGUGAUUGAUGCCAUGCUUCCAAGAAAAGCUUCUAAGCUUCAGGUAAUAAAUAAUCGUACCCCAAACCAACACAGGUGGUCAGGAUGAGAAUUCUAAGGCGCUUGAGAGAACUCGGCUGAAGGAACUAGGCAAAAUGGUACCGUAACUUCGGGAGAAGGUACGCCUCCUAACGUGAAGGACUUGCUCCGUAAGCGUCUGGAGGUUGCAAUAAACUGGUGGCUGCAACUGUUUACUAAAAACAUAGCACUCUGCAAAAUCGAAAGAUGAAGUAUAGGGUGUGACGCCUGCCCGGUGCCGGAAGGUUAAUUGAUGGGGUUAGCAUUAGCGAAGCUCUUGAUCGAAGCCCCGGUAAACGGCGGCCGUAACUAUAACGGUCCUAAGGUAGCGAAAUUCCUUGUCGGGUAAGUUCCGACCUGCACGAAUGGCGUAAUGAUGGCCACACUGUCUCCAGCCGAGACUCAGCGAAAUUGAAAUCGCAGUUAAGAUGCUGCGUACCCGCGGCUAGACGGAAAGACCCCGUGAACCUUUACUACAGCUUUGCACUGGACUUUGAUACUAUCUGUGUAGGAUAGGUGGGAGGCUUUGAAACUGUGACGCCAGUUGCAGUGGAGCCAUCCUUGAAAUACCACCCUGAUAUUAUUGAGGUUCUAACCUCGGGCAGUGAAUCCUGCUCAGGGACAGUGUAUGGUGGGUAGUUUGACUGGGGCGGUCUCCUCCUAAAGAGUAACGGAGGAGCGCGAAGGUACCCUCAGCACGGUCGGACAUCGUGCAAUGAGCGCAAGAGUAAAAGGGUGCUUGACUGCGAGACAGACACGUCGAGCAGGUGCGAAAGCAGGUUCUAGUGAUCCGGUGGUUCUGUGUGGAAGGGCCAUCGCUCAACGGAUAAAAGGUACUCCGGGGAUAACAGGCUGAUACCGCCCAAGAGUUCAUAUCGACGGCGGUGUUUGGCACCUCGAUGUCGGCUCAUCACAUCCUGGGGCUGAAGUCGGUCCCAAGGGUAUGGCUGUUCGCCAUUUAAAGUGGUACGCGAGCUGGGUUUAGAACGUCGUGAGACAGUUCGGUCCCUAUCUGCCGUGGGCGUUGGAAAAUUGAGAGGGGCUGCUCCUAGUACGAGAGGACCGGAGUGGACGAACCCCUGGUGUUCCGGUUGUGAUGCCAAUUGCAUUGCCGGGUAGCUAUGUUCGGAAAGGAUAACCGCUGAAAGCAUCUAAGCGGGAAACCUGCCUCAAGAUAAGUUUUCCCUAGACUUUAAGUCUUCUGAAGGGCCGUUAGAGACUAUGACGUUGAUAGGCAAGAUGUGGAAGUGCAGUAAUGUAUGAAGCUAACUUGUACUAAUUACCCGUGAGGCUUAACUAUACAACUCAAAAG